Molecule: ribosomal RNA, 468 nt
Filed under: uncultured bacterium
Lineage: Bacteria
Description: partial 16S ribosomal RNA
Rfam family: Bacterial small subunit ribosomal RNA
Source: RNAcentral
GACGAACGCUGGCGGCGUGCUUAACACAUGCAAGUCGAACGGAAAGGCCCUGCUUUUGUGGGGUGCUCGAGUGGCGAACGGGUGAGUAACACGUGAGUAACCUGCCCUUGACUUUGGGAUAACUUCAGGAAACUGGGGCUAAUACCGGAUAGGAGCUCCUGCUGCAUGGUGGGGGUUGGAAAGUUUCGGCGGUUGGGGAUGGACUCGCGGCUUAUCAGCUUGUUGGUGGGGUAGUGGCUUACCAAGGCUUUGACGGGUAGCCGGCCUGAGAGGGUGACCGGCCACAUUGGGACUGAGAUACGGCCCAGACUCCUACGGGAGGCAGCAGUGGGGAAUAUUGCACAAUGGGCGGAAGCCUGAUGCAGCAACGCCGCGUGCGGGAUGACGGCCUUCGGGUUGUAAACCGCUUUCGCCUGUGACGAAGCGUGAGUGACGGUAAUGGGUAAAGAAGAACCGGCUAACUACGUG